Molecule: ribosomal RNA, 498 nt
Filed under: uncultured marine crenarchaeote
Lineage: Archaea; Thermoproteati; Thermoproteota
Description: partial 16S ribosomal RNA
Rfam family: Archaeal small subunit ribosomal RNA
Source: RNAcentral
UAUAGGGGCCCCCCACGGGCGGAAAACUUUGCCAUGUGGGCAAGCCCGGCAAGGGUAAUUCGGAGUGUUCUUCGUAAAGGAAUUUUUUUUUCGUUUUAAAAACACUGGGGGAUAAGGGGGGGGCAAGUUCUGGUGUCAGCCGCCGCGGUAAAACCAGCUCCUCAAGUGGUCAGGAUGAUUAUUGGGCCUAAAGCAUCCGUAGCCGGUUAAGUAAGUUCCCGGUUAAAUCCACCGGCUUAAUUGUUGGAUUGCCGGGGAUACUGCAGGGCUAGGGGGCGGGAGAGGCAGACGGUACUCGGUGGGUAGGGGUGAAAUCCUAUAAUCCCGGGAAGACCACCAGUGGCGAAGGCGGUUUGCCAGAACGCGUUCGACGGUGAGGGAUGAAAGCUGGGGGAGCAAACCGGAUUAGAUACCCGGGUAGUCCCAGCUGUAAACGAUGCAGACUCGGUGAUGCACGGCCUCUUGCCAUUGCAGUGCCGCAGGGAAGCCGUAAGUCUG